Molecule: long non-coding RNA, 10197 nt
Filed under: Homo sapiens (human)
Lineage: Eukaryota; Metazoa; Chordata; Mammalia; Primates; Hominidae
Description: non-protein coding lnc-ADAMTSL5-2:2
Source: RNAcentral
CUGCAACCUCCGCCUGCCAGGUUCAAGCGAUUCUCCUGCCUCAGCCUCCUGAGUAGCUGGGAUUACAGGAAGGCUCCACCACGCCCAGCUAAUUUUUGUAUUUUUAGUAGAGAUGGGGUUUCACCGUGUUGGUCAGGUUGGUCUCAAACUCUUCACCUUGCGAUCUGCCCGCCUCGGCCUCCCAAAGCACUGGGAUUAGAGGUGUGGACCACAGUGCCUGGCCCAAAAACGUCAUGCAUUUUCCAUGCUGUGGUUUUGUACGCAGGAGCCAAUACCUUUUUUUUUUUUUUUUUUCCUGGGAGGCAAAUGCUUCCUAAGGCUCCCCCAAAGCUUGCUCCGUAACAGCCCAGGCAGGCCAGACCCCACCCUGCCGAGCCCCAGUGCCCCGAGUUUGAGCCCCGGGCUCACCUGCACCAUCCCAUUGCUGAACAGCAGCAGCAGGGCGUGCUCAGAGGCCAGGAAGCGCAGGAGGCAGAGGCCGGGUCCAGCAGGUGGCACAGGUGUGGGGAGGGUCCCCUCCUGUGGACAGACUCGGCUGAGGUCACGUGACGCAGGGGGCGUCCCCACCCCUCGCCCCCACACCCAGCACCCCAGCUCUCACCUCCCGCAGCCGCCGCCGCAGGCAGCCGGCAAAGAGCUGCAGCACGGCCAGCUUGGCGCCCAGCAGGCCGGGCACAUCCCUCAGGGCGAAGGCUUCCAGCCUCCCGCAGUUGGGCAUGUAGCACACUUGGCUGGGGCCAGGACACAGGGCCUCUGUCCUGGACAGCCCAGGCCAGUGGACACCCUUCCAUUGACCUACACCCCCUGGAAUGGUGGCUUUAAAGAGCAGCUCUGCCCUAGUUACACCUUAUCCAUAUGCCCAGUGCGGCUCUCUGUCCUCUCUUCACCUCAGCUGACAGCUGGUCCACCCUUCCUGCCUUCCAACUCUAUCCACACUGCAGCCCCUCUCAUCCCUCCCCGGUCACCAGCACAGCCCAGGCCUCCGCCACUGCCCACCUGAUGAGUCCAGCCACCUCCCCACUGGCCCCCAUGUCACUCCCGCUAGAAAGAUUGUGUUAAGGCCGGGCGCGGUGGCUCACACCUAUAAUCCCAGCACUUUGGGAGGUCCAGGUGGGAGGAUCACCUGAGGUCGGGAGUUCGAGACCAGCCUGGCCAACAUGGAGAAACCCCGUCUCUACUAAAAUUCAAAAUUAGCCAGGCGUGGUGGCGGGUGCCUGUAAUCCCAGCUACCCCGAUCCCGGGAUGGGGAGGUUGCGCUGAGCCGAGAUUGCACUCCAGCCUGGGCAACAAGAGCACAACUCCGUCUCAAAAAAAAGAGACAGAGUCUCGUUCUGUCACCCAGGCUGGAGCGCAGUGGUGCAAUCAUGGCUCACUGGAGCCUUGACCUCCUGGGACCAAGUGAUCCUCCCACCUCAGCCAUCCAAGUAGCUGGGACCUACUGAUGCAUACCCUUGCAGUUGGCUAAUUUAAAAAAAAAAAAACUUGGCCAGGCGCGGUGGCUCACGCCUGUAAUCCCAGCACUUUGGGAGGCCGAGGCGGGCAGAUCACGAGGUCAGGAGAUCGAGACCAUCCUGGCUAACACAGUGAAACCCCGUCUCUACUAAAAAUACAAAAAAUUAGCCAGGAGUGGCUGAGCGCGGUGGCUCAUGCCUAUAAUCCCAGCACUUUGGGAGGCUGAGGCGGGUGGAUCACCUGAGGUCAGGAGUUCGAGACCCGCCUGGCCAACAUGGAGAAACCCCGUCUCUAAUAAAAAUACAAAAUUAGCCAGGAGUGGUGGCGGGCACCUGUAAUCCCAGCUACUUAGGAGGCUGAGGCAGGAGAAUGGUGUGAACCCGGGAGGUGGAGCUUGCAGUGAGCCGAGAUUGCGCCACUGCACUCCAGCCUGGGUGACAGAGUGAGACUCCAUCUCAAAAAAAAAAAAAAAAAAAGAAGAAAAUUUUGUAGAGAAAGGUCUUGCUGUGUGGCCCAGGCUGAUCUCAAACUGCUGGGCUCAAGUGAUUCUCCCACCUCAGCCUCCCACAGUGCCAGGAUUACCGGUGUGCACCACCACGCCCAGCUAAUUUUUAAUUUUUUUGUGGAGAUGGGGUCUUGCUAUGAGGCCAAGGCUGAUCUCAAACUGCUGGGUUCAAGCGAGUCCGCACCUCAGCCUCCAACGUGCCAGGAUUAUAGGUGUGUGCCACCACACCAAGCUAAUUAUUAAAAUUUUUGUAGGGAUGGGGUCUUGCUAUGUUGUCCAGGCUGAUCUCGAUCUCCUGGGCUCAAGGAAUCCUGCCUUGGCCUCCCAAAGCACAGGGCUGCCGCUUGUCAUUCACGUCACUUUCUCAGAGACCCCUUCCCCUUCCCCCUACCCACACUACUGAGAUUCACCUCCCCUCCUAAUCUGCCUCUUCACUGGGUUCAUUUACUACAGAAACGCACUUGCUGAUUCGUUUAGUGUUGUUCUCCCCGACCAGGCAGGGAGCACCUGUAGGUGUGCACAGUAGGUGCUUAAUAAAUACUUGAGAGAUGAAUGAAAAAAGGCAGGGGGAGUGCCUGGUCCCCCAGGGCACAGGAGGCCACAACUUACCCUCCGGGGGGUCGCAGGGCCAUGUGGGUGCCGUCCCGUGCGCCCCCCGUCCAAGAGCUGGUAGCCAAAGCCGUAUUUGCUGGAAUAAUCCACCCAUUUGGGGGCCCAGAGGAUGGGCUGCUGCUCUCCCAGGGGGUCCUGUGUGGCUGGGCACAAACAAAGGUAUGCUGAGCCAGGGGUCAGGGGUCAGGCAUAUAGUAGGCACUCAAUAAAUGUGAUGGACUGAAACCAUGGGUGAGACCCUUCCCACGGCGGGGACCGGACAGAGGCUUGGGGGCUUCGGUGGUGGAUUCUAGGAGACCAGACAUCAACAGAAGCCACGGAACCGUAACUAAUUUCUGGCUUGCAGAGGGAGACUGUGGGAUACUGGCGCACCCCUGGGAAUGAGCAAUUCUCAAAUACUUGCAAUGCUCUGAAAAUACUACACAUUUCUGGGUGUGUGUGUUUUUGUUUGUUUUGUUUUGUUUUGUUUUUUUGAGACAGAGUCUUGCUCUGUCCCCAGGCUGGAGUGCAGUGGCGCAAUCUCGGCUCACUGCAACCUCCGCCUCCUGGGUUCAAGCGAUUCUCCUCCCUCAGCCUCCUGAGUAGCUGGGAUCACAGGCACGUGCCACCACACCCAGCUAAUUUUUGUGUUAUUAGUAGAGAUGGGGUUUCACCAUGUUGGCCAGGAUGGUUUCGAUCUCCUGACCUUGUGAUCCACCUGCUUCAGCCUCCCAAAGUGCUGGGAUGACAGGCAUGAGCCACCACGCCCUGCCCCGUUUCUGGGUUUUUGCUUGUUUGUCUGUUGGCUUUUCAGACAGGGUCUCGCUCUGUUGCCCAGGCUGAAGUGCAGUGGCACGAUCUCAGCUCACUGCAGCCUCCACCUCCGAGCUCAAGUGAUCCUCCUUCCUCAGCCUCCUGAGUAUCUGGGACAACAUGCAUGCACCACCAUGCCCGGCUCAUUUUUUUGUAGAGAUGGGGUCCUGAGGCUGGGCGCGGUGGCUUAUACCUGUAAUCCUAGCACUUUGGGAGGCCGAGACAGGCGGAUCACGAGGUCAGGAGAUCGAGACCAUCCUGGCUAACACAGUGAAACCCCGUCUCUACUAUAAAUACAAAAAUUAGCCGGGCAUGGUGGCGGGUGCCUGUAGUCCCAGCUGCUGGGGAGGCUGAGGCAGGAGAAUGGCGUGAACCCGGGAGGCAGAGCUUGCAGUGAGCCGAGAUCACGCCACAGCACUCCAGCCUGGGCGACAGAGUGAGACUCCGUCUCAAAAAAAAAAAAAAAAAAAAAAAAAAAAAAAAAUGCGCCCAGGCGUGGUGGCUGACGACGUCUGUAAUCCCAGCACUUUGGGAGGCUGAGGCGGCCAGAUCACCGGAGGUCAGGAGUUCGAGACCAGCCUGGCCAACAUGGUGAAACCCUGUCUCUACUAAAAGAAUACAGAAAUUAGCAGGUGUGGUGGCACACGCCUGUAAUCUCAGCUACUCGGGAGGCUAAGGCAGGAGAAUCGCUUUGAACCCAGGAGGUGGAGGUUGUGAUGAGCCAAGAUGGCACCAUUGCACUCCAGCCUAGGCAACAGAGUGAGAUUCCGUCUCUUAAAAAAAAAGAAAGAAAAGGAAAAGAAAAGGCUUCUGGGCUGGAGACCUGGCGUGGGGUUUGGGGCUCCCUCUCUAAGGGUGGCAGUAUGUGUGGGUCAGUGGAGGCUCAGGGAGAGGAGGGGAGAGGAAGAGGGUUUGGGUUCUGGGACACUGGGGAUAAGAGGGGUCCCCCUUUGGAGUGUGGCCUGUGGGCACAGGGCUCUGUGUCCAACGUCCCAGGUCACGUUUCCUCACUCACUGGGUCUCUAACGAGCCCGGGUCAUGAAUUUAAGAGACCGUGAAACGUAAGGCUGCCGCAGAGCCCUCCGUGCCAGGCUCUGCACACAGGAGGGCUAACCCACUCUCCUGAUGUCACCGUGUCCUGGGGCCUCCCUCACCCCUACUCCUCACCCCCAGAAAUACCCAGGAGGGCCCAGGAUGGGAAUGAAGGCAAUUUUACUUGGCUAGUAAGAGUAAAGGUGAUCCUGGGGGCUGGGCCGGCUCCUACCCGGGGGGCCUACAUCCAGGCACAGCUGCAGGUGUCUGAGGGCCGCCUCCACCUCUGGCCGCCGGCUCCCCUCGGGCCCUGGGAAGACAGGUCUUUGUGCCGCAGACAGGUCUGGGUUCCCACCACCAGGCUCUUCCAACCAGUCCCCCUCCCCACGGCUCCAUCCAGGAACAUCUCAUCCUCAACCCAGAGGCGGCAUUCCCAUUUGACAGGCGGGAAAGGUGAGGCCGGGACGGCGGCUGUGACCCUGGUAAGCCACGGCCUUGGUCCCCCUGUCACUUGUAAUUCCUCCCUCCCCACCUGCAGCCCCGGGCUGGGACGGGGAUCUGCUCACCGGCCAGGUCACUCUGCAGGGUCCCUUGUGCGACCAGGUGGAUGGGGCCUUCCAGGCAGGGAACCUCUUUCGCAGACAGGGAGCUCUGAGGUGGGAGCAGCAGGGGUGGGGGUGGCCCCGGCCCCAGCCCCAGGGACAGGCGUGAGGUGGGUGGCAGGCUCUGGCCCCUGCCUGUGCCCUCCGUGCUCUGCACACAGAGGCACUGCUUUCCCCUUGGGAGGCAGCCUCGGAGUGUCUCGGAGGCAUACAGUAGGUGCUCAAUAAAUGUGAUGGACUGAAGCCAUGGAUGGGACCCUUCCCAUGGCCUCGAGCCCGGCCCUUGGGAAAGCCCAGGUGGGCACAUUUGGACACAAAUGGAUCCCAGCUCUGAUGCGUCAGGACGGGACUAGGGGGAGGGGGCCGGGCUUGGAGACCCCAGAAGGGGUUCAGAGAAGCCGGCAUGGGGGAGGGGGUUUUAGCAGGGGCCAGCAUGCCCUCCACCUGUGUCUCCCCGUGUCCCCCACCCCGAUGUCUCACCUCGCCGUCCCACUCCAUGGAGUCAGGGUCUGGCCCACCUUCUCCUGGACCCGAGGCCUCUUUAGGCGUGAAGGGGCCUGAGGGAGGCACAAGGCCUUGGAGGGGGCACAGCCUGGGCCCCAAGCUGGGGGUAGGGGGGCACCUGCCACCCACACCCACCCCUGAUGUGGAGACAGAGCGGAGCAGGUGGCAGUUGUGGGCAGGUGGGAGGUGUGGGCAGGCGGGAGGUGUGGGCAGGUGGGGGCAGGUAGCAGGCGUAGGCAGGUGUGGGCAGGUGGGAGGUGUGAGCAGGUGGGAGGUGUGGGCAGGUGGGAGGUGUGGGCAGGUGGGAGGUGUGGGCAGGUGGGAGGCGUGGGCAGGUGUUGGGCAGGUGUGGGCGGGGGUGGUACUUACAGGGUGGCCGGCACUGGGUGAGCAGCCGCUGGCCCACCUUCCGGAAGAUCCUGCCCAGAGGCGGGGGUAUGGCGAAGAUGGGGGGACUGUGGCAGGAGUGGGCCGGCAGCCGGUCUGGAGUGAAACCCUUUGGAUGGGGAUUUGGGGUUAUCCCCGGCUUAGGUCACCCAGCCCCUGAGCACCUGGGUUACCUGGGACAGGGCGGGGCCUCCCUCGGCUGAGCAGGGCAGGCUCUGGCUCAUCACCUGCCAGGGACCCCACGCCAGGGACCCCACGCCGAGGACCGCCGCCCACCUGUGUGAAGAAGUCGUCCUGCAGCAGGUGGUCCAGGCUGGGCCGCUCGGCCGGGUUGGGUGCUAGGAGGUGCACGAUGAGGCGGCGCGCAUUGGCAGACAGGUGAGCGGGUUCGGGGUAGUGGCCCUCACGGAUGUUUUGGUACAUCUCCGACAGGGGUGAGGCCAUGAAGGGUGGGGUGCCAGUCAGCACCGUGUACCUGGGCCAGGUGGGGGGCAAGAACCUGGGUGUCCAGGCAUCGCUCAGAGCUACCCCUGCACACUUGGCCAGACCUGCCUACACAGCUUAGCUGUGCAACCCAUAUCGGCUUCCUCAUCUCCCAACAUCCGCCUGCACCUAGCACCCUGUGCAGUCCCAUGCACGCUGCUUGGUGGACACCAGCGUCUGUCCAUCCCCUGCCUGCACCUGGCACCCUGUGCAGUCCCAUGGACCCUGCUUGGUGGACACCAGCGUCUGUCCAUCCCCUGCCUGCACCUGGCUCACCCUGAACUCACCUGCAUACACCUUUUCAAUGCUUCUAUUUUUUUUUUUUAAAGACAGGGUCUCAUUCUGUCACCCAGGCUGGAGUGCCGUUGUGCAAUCACAGCUCACUGCAGUCUCCACCUCCUGAGCUCAAGCAAUCCUCCCAACUCAGCCUCCUGAAUAGCUGGGACUACAGGUGCACACCACCACUCCUGGCUAAUUUUUGUAAUUUUUGUAGAGACAGGGUUUCACCAACUUGGCCAGGCUGGUCUUGAACUCCUGGGCUCAAGCGAUCCUCCUGCCUCGGCCUCCCAAAGCUCUAGGAUUACAGGCGUGAGUCACUGCGCCUGGCCUCCACCUUCCAAUGCUAUCCCAUGCCUGCUCACACCUGCCCUGCGCCCACACACGCUGUAUCCCUGUACACAUACGCCCUGACCUGCCUGUGCCACUGCCACCUGCCCACACCUGUCCACCUCUCUGUGCACACCCUCCCCCGUCCUCCCUCACACACGCCUCCCCACACACGUCCUGUUCAUACUGCACACUUGGCGACAGGUGCCUGUUCCACGCGCCCCACCCUGCACAACGGUCCCCACCUGUUCCGUGCAGGCUCCCCCCCCGCCACACCUGCCCCCCCCGGAGGCCCUGCCCACCUUCUCCAGGACCCCACUCACAUGAUGCAGCCCAGAGCCCAGAUGUCCUACUGGCAGGAGUGACCGUUUCUGGAGACAACCUCAGGGUCCAGGAAGUUAGGGGUCCCACAGAGUACUCUAGGAAGGGCGUCAUGGGGGGCUCAGGAAGGCUGGGAUCCCCGUGCCAGACUUCAGGGCCAGCCGUGCCCACCCGGACGGACUGCUCAGAGCCCUCCCCCCGGCUCUCACCUGUGGCAGCGGCCCCCUGGCCCCACCUUGGCCGCCAGUCCCAGGUCUCCAAUCUUCACCUCCAUGUUCUUGUUAAGGAAGAAGUUACCUGGCAGUGGGAGGGGCAUUGCGCAUGGGGGUGGAUCCGUGCCCACCUCCCGACGCCCCCGCCCACAGUUCCCCUUCCUGGCACUCACUGAGCUUCAGGUCGCGGUGCAGGAUGCACCGCUGGUGCAGGUAGCGCAGGCCGCUGACCAGGCCCCGCAGGUAGUCGCGCACUUCUGGCUCCGUCAGGAUCUGCCGCGCCCUCAGCACGUGGGCCAAAGACUGUGGGUGACCAGCGGCCCCGGAUUAGAAGGCAAAUGUAAGCUCAGCCUGGCCAAGGUGGUAUGGCUGAUUAUGGGAUGAGCACAGGUGAGCGCAGGUGCACACAGGUGAGCAAAGAUGACCCACCCCAAUAGGAGCAUGCGGGUUCAGAUGGGCCCAGGUGGCCACUGAGGGGGGGCACGAACCUUUCCCCACGGGCACAGCUGCCCGGCCCCGGCCCCGCACCUGGCACCACCUUGAGGGUGAACACGGCGCUGGUGGACAUGCUUGUCAGCUUGAGAAGGGCCAGGUGAUUAGGAGUGAACGCAGAGGGGGCAUAUUCUGGCACAGGUGGACCCAGGUGGGCUCAGGUCUACUUAAUGGGCACAGUGAGUUCACGGCCACGGUGGGCACAGCAGGGUGCAGGAGGGGCGCAGGUGACCACAGGUAGGCACAGGGGCAUGCUGGUGGGUACAGGUGGGCAUGGGUGAGUCCAAGGGGGCCAAGAAGAAGCAAACACAUUCUGAUGGGCCCAGGCGGUCACAGGUGAGUCUGAGACGGGCCUGAUGAGCACAGCGUAAGCUGGGCCCAGGUGGAUCAAGAGAGCCUGGGUGUGCCCAGGUGAGUAAAGGAUGGACACAAUUGGCCCUACGUAGGCGUAAGAAGCGCUGGCGAAUGGACAGCAGAGGGCACACAGGAUGGUACGGGGGGCAGCGGCGAGGUGCAGAUGGACACGGGGUGGACAGAGACGGGCACAGCUGACAUGAAUCCUGCCCUCUCCCCGCCCCUGGGCACCUGGCGGCUGCAGUACUCCAGCACCAUGUACACGUGGUCGCGGUCAGCAAAGUGUCCGUGGAAAGCCACGAUGUUGCGGGGUCGCAGGCGGCUAUGCAGGGCAAUCUCACGCUCCACCUGCAGGCACGGCCCCGACAUGUACCCGCCUGCAGCGGGGCACAGGCUGCAGGAUGCUCGCCUGCCUCCUGUACGAUCUCAUGGCCACCCAGGGCUGGGACCAAAGGGCAGGGCCUUCUUCGGGACACGCUGCGGGCUGCGGACUGUGGGCCCUGGGGACCGAUGGGGACACGCACCUUUCCCUGCGGGCGAAGCCACCCGGCCCCAGCCCCGCCACACGGCACCACCUUGAGGGCGAACACGGCGCUGGUGGACAUGUCUGUCAGCUUGUAGCAGCGGCUGAAGGCGCCCUGUGGGGAGGGGUCAGCAGAUCAGUGGGCAGGUGUGCACGGGUGUGCAAGCUGGCAGCGCGUACAGAGGCACAGGGCAGCCAGGGACGCAGGCGCGUCCAGGUCUCUCCACACACACACCGGGGAAAAAACAACACACAGCUCCCACCCUCCCGCCUGGACACACAAGACAUGAUGCACACAAGAAGGCACAGAGACACAGACACAGACACAUCCACGCCUGGUGCAUAGAGGCCACGGACCAGAAGACAGCACCGGAUGCACAACACCACGCCUGAAUACGACACACAAACACGCAACGCCCAGACACAGAGUCACCAUGCAUGGACACACAACACAACACCCAGAUACACAACGCAGCAACACACAAACACAUGAAUAUACAAUGUCUGGACACACAGUCACCACGUGUGGACACACAACACAAUACCCAGACACAGCACAGGAACACACAAACACAUGAACACACAACACCUGGACACACAGUACAACACAUGGACAAAGACACAGAUACAAACACAUGAACACACAACUCCUAGACACACCACAUAUGAACACACAAACACACAAGCACACCACAUGAACACACAACACCCAGACACACAACACAAUGACUGGACACACAAAGGCAUGACGCACAAACAACAGGUGAACAAGCAACACAACACCCAGACACACACACACACACACACACACACACACACGAACACCGCACAGCACCCAGACACUUGGAAGCAGCGGGCACAGACGCGGCACACUCAGACCCUCGCCAGGCUCGCACACACACCCAGGGGCAACACAGCGUCGCAUCCCGAGGCCGAGCCGCACGCCCACACCCCGGACACGCAACCCACGGACACGACGCACAGCGCGCUCAACACGGUUCCCGCCAUGCGAAACCCCGCACGGGAGGCCCCGCGGCUCCGGACGCGCGCCCGCUCCAGACCCCGCGCUCGCAGGGACGCGCCGCGUAGACCGCGCAGGAUCGCCCGCGCGCCCCGGGACCCCAGCCCAGCCCGGUCCGGCCCCGUCGCGGACUCGGGGCGCGGGCCUCCCACCUUGCCGAUCAGCUUCCCGCGCCUGUACACGCGGCCCGAGCCCGGGUCUCGCAGGAAGGCGGCGACCAGGGGGCGACUCCUGCGCCGCCGCCGCGGCCGGGGCUCCAUCGCGCGGACUCUGGCGCAGCCGGGCCGAGACCACCGCGC